AUUGAACGCUGGCGGCAUGCCUUACACAUGCAAGUCGAACGGUAACAGGUCUUCGGAUGCUGACGAGUGGCGAACGGGUGAGUAAUACAUCGGAACGUGCCUAGUAGUGGGGGAUAACUACUCGAAAGAGUGGCUAAUACCGCAUGAGAUCUACGGAUGAAAGCAGGGGAUCGCAAGAACUUGUGCUACUCGAGCGGCCGAUGGCCGAUUAGGUAGUUGGUGGGAUAAAAGCUUACCAAGCCGACGAUCUGUAGCUGGUCUGAGAGGACGAUCAGCCACACUGGGACUGAGACACGGCCCAGACUCCUACGGGAGGCAGCAGUGGGGAAUUUUGGACAAUGGGCGAAAGCCUGAUCCAGCAAUGCCGCGUGCAGGAUGAAGGCCUUCGGGUUGUAAACUGCUUUUGUACGGAACGAAAAGCCCCGGGUUAAUACCCUGGGGUCAUGACGGUACCGUAAGAAUAAGCACCGGCUAACUACGUGCCAGCAGCCGCGGUAA
This 498-nucleotide ribosomal RNA is filed under the name uncultured bacterium. Its description in RNAcentral is "partial 16S ribosomal RNA". It matches the Rfam family "Bacterial small subunit ribosomal RNA", at positions 30 to 523 of the family's 1533-position model. The record is from RNAcentral.